RNAcentral lists this ribosomal RNA (363 nucleotides) under uncultured bacterium. RNAcentral describes it as "bacterial SSU rRNA". It matches the Rfam family "Bacterial small subunit ribosomal RNA", at positions 32 to 390 of the family's 1533-position model. The record is from RNAcentral.
AAUCAACGCUGGCGGCGUGCCUAACACAUGCAAGUCGAACGAGAAAGGGGAGCAAUCCCUGAGUAAAGUGGCGACCGGGUGAGUAACACGUGACUAACCUACCUUCGAGUGGGGGAUAACCUCGGGAAACCGGGGCUAAUACCGCAUAACAUCUUUGGAGUGGAAAUUCCGGGGAUCAAAGGAGCAAUUCGCUGGAAGAGGGGGUCGCGGCUGAUUAGCUAGUUGGCGGGGUAACGGCCCACCAAGGCAGAUCGGUAGCCGGCCUGAGAGGGCGCACGGCCACACUGGAACUGAAACACGGUCCAGACUCCUACGGGAGGCAGCAGGUGGGGAAUUUUGCGCAAUGGGGGAAACCCUGACGCA